GCACAAGCGGUGAUGAUGUGUUUAAUUCGAUGCAACGCGAAAAACCUUACCCACCUUUGACAUGUACGGAAUCCUUUAGAGAUAGAGGAGUGCUCGAAAGAGAGCCGUAACACAGGUGCUGCAUGGCUGUCGUCAGCUCGUGUCGUGAGAUGUUGGGUUAAGUCCCGCAACGAGCGCAACCCUUGUCAUUAGUUGCUACAUUCAGUUGGGCACUCUAAUGAGACUGCCGGUGACAAACCGGAGGAAGGUGGGGAUGACGUCAAGUCCUCAUGGCCCUUAUAGGUGGGGCUACACACGUCAUACAAUGGAUGGUACAAAGGGUCGCCAACCCGCGAGGGGGAGCCAAUCCCAUAAAGCCAUUCGUAGUCCGGAUCGCAGUCUGCAACUCGACUGCGUGAAGUCGGAAUCGCUAGUAAUCGUGGAUCAGAAUGUCACGGUGAAUACGUUCCCGGGUCUU
RNAcentral lists this ribosomal RNA (457 nucleotides) under uncultured Acidovorax sp. Its description in RNAcentral is "bacterial SSU rRNA". It matches the Rfam family "Bacterial small subunit ribosomal RNA", at positions 923 to 1382 of the family's 1533-position model. The record is from RNAcentral. Lineage: Bacteria; Pseudomonadati; Pseudomonadota; Betaproteobacteria; Burkholderiales; Comamonadaceae.